Molecule: ribosomal RNA, 421 nt
Filed under: uncultured bacterium
Lineage: Bacteria
Description: partial 16S ribosomal RNA
Rfam family: Bacterial small subunit ribosomal RNA
Source: RNAcentral
AAUAUUGGACAAUGGGGGCAACCCUGAUCCAGCCAUGCCGCGUGUGUGAAUAAGUUCUUCGGCUUGUAAAGCACUUUAAGUUGGGAGGAAGGGCUUUAGGUUAUUACCCUGCAGUUAUGACUUUACCAACAGCAUAAGAACCGGCUACCUCUGCUCCAGCAGCCGCUGUAAUACAGAGGGUCCAAGCGUUAACCGGAAUUACUGGGCGUAAAGCGCGCGUAGGUGGUUCAGUAAGAUGGGUGUGAAAACACCGGGCUUAACCUGGGAACUGCUUUCAUAACUGCUGAGCUAGAGUACGGUAGAGGGUAGUGGAAUUUCCUGUGUAGCGGUGAAAUGCGUAGAUAUAGGAAGGAACACCAGUGGCGAAGGCGACUACCUGGACUGAUACUGACACUGAGGUGCGAAAGCGUGGGGAGCAAAC